UCGACGAAACCAUUCAUUGUGACUCAACU
RNAcentral lists this small RNA (29 nucleotides) under Bombyx mori (domestic silkworm). RNAcentral describes it as "ovarian small RNA-28303". Lineage: Eukaryota; Metazoa; Arthropoda; Insecta; Lepidoptera; Bombycidae. The record is from RNAcentral.